UAGAGUUUGAUCCUGGCUCAGAACGAACGCUGGCGGCAGGCUUAACACAUGCAAGUCGAACGCGUGUAGCAAUACACGAGUGGCGCACGGGUGAGUAACACGUGGAUUAUCUGGCUUCUGGUUCGGAAUAACCCCGGGAAACUGGGGCUAAUACCGGAUGGUUCCUACGGGAUAAAGAUUUAUCGCCAGAAGAUGAGUCCGCGCCCGAUUAGCUAGUUGGUGGGGUAACGGCCCACCAAGGCGACGAUCGGUAGCUGGUCUGAGAGGACGAUCAGCCACACUGGGACUGAGACACGGCCCAGACUCCUACGGGAGGCAGCAGUGGGGAAUAUUGGACAAUGGGGGCAACCCUGAUCCAGCCAUGCCGCGUGAGUGAUGAAGGCCUUCGGGUUGUAAAGCUCUUUUGGCGGGGACGAUGAUGACGGUACCCGCAGAAUAAGCCCCGGCUAACUUCGUGCCAGCAGCCCCGGUCAA
RNAcentral lists this ribosomal RNA (474 nucleotides) under uncultured bacterium. RNAcentral's name for it is "bacterial SSU rRNA". It matches the Rfam family "Bacterial small subunit ribosomal RNA", at positions 1 to 524 of the family's 1533-position model. The record is from RNAcentral.